UUGUAAGGAGCUGUUACAACAGCAAUUUCUUGGUAUUCGGUUGCUUCCUGGUGUUGACUGUAUGUGCUGGUUAUUGUUUACUGAUUACUAUUGCGACAGAAUGGAAAUUACCUUUGCAGGCCUGGAGUAAAAUGACCCAAAGGAAGAGGACAAGACAUAUGAUUGUUCUACCCUGGUCCAAACCUCGAAGGUGUCAUCAUGCCCUUUGGUGCGUGUAUUCACAGCAAAGACAUAAGGAAUACACCGUGGAACCACAAAAAUAAGCAGGAAGCGGAUGGGCAAGGACCUGCCAUUUACCGCUCCUUGGCAGAGGUGCAGCGAUAGGAAAUUGUGCUGGCAUACGGCUCUGCUCUACUCUACUCAACCUGACUUAAAAUGUGAAAAACACCAUCAAUUGCGCAUGAAUAAAUAUUCAGGUAGCAGAAUUCAACUUACAGAGUAACCACAAUAGACCUUAAUAAAUUGUAUUUUCCUGAAAAAGAAGAGUACACAAGAGUUGUAUACACAGGAGUCGAUUGGGGGUGCAGUAUAUAGAAGAGCGACAUAGUGGUUUAACAAAGAAAAUGGUGAAGUUGAAGCAACAAAGAACAAGGGAUCAAAUCUCAGCUAGGGGAAAACUGGAACAGCAUCAUAGACUUUCAGCCUUUACUAUUACUACACCUUUACAGUGCCCUGAGGAGUCAAAGAGGCUGAGUCUCAGCUUCUCCCACCUUUGUUCCUUCACUUCAGCUUGCCAGUCACACAAGUCAUCCCGGGAAUGGAAAUCUCUGUCUAUACUCCAAGACUGAGACUGACAGUAGUAUAUGUUCCAGCAACUCUUCCCUCUUUGGCACCUCUCCUUACACGUCGUGGGAUUCCGUUCUAUUUGGGAACACAUGUGAAAUUGCCCAUACAGCAAUAUGAACCAAAAAAGAUUUAUUAAAAGUAGAGUGAAAAUUGAAGUGGAACAAAAGAGGCAGCUUGCUUAACAUAUCAAGUCUCAGACCUCUCGUAAACUAAACUAGAUAAUGCAUUUACAGCUUAGUUUCACAGGAGAAGAAAAAGCAAAUGGCUAGCAUAAAGUUGUGGAUUAUAAAACUAGAAAGGAACACUGUGAUCUCUUGCAUAACCCACCCCAUCCCUCACUUAAUUUCCUUCUUGAGUUAAUUUCCUCUUCUAAGCAAGUUCCAUUCUGACCCCUAUGGUCAGAUAAUCAGCACCUCUUGUUGGCCAUCUAGCAAUUCUAAUCUAGCCAACUGUAGACAAUCCCUUCCUAGUUUUCUGAAACAAUUUUCUGAAAACAAGUACUCAAAGUAGGUGAACAGCUUCCUUUUCCACCUUAUCAAAAUAAUUUAAUCACCUGAUAUGGGAUUUGAUUAAUCGAAAAUUAAAGGAGGGUAAUGGAAUUAAUGCAAAUGAACAUGGGUUUAUGGAAAAUAGAUCCUGUCCAAUUAACUUGAUUUAUUUUUUAUGCAAUUAUAAGUAUGGUUGAUUAAAGGUAAUAGUGUUGACAUAAUACACUUAGACUUCUAUAAGGUGUUUAACUUGGUACUGCAUGACAUAUUGAUUAGAACAAUAUAAAAUUAACAUACCUCACAAUAAAUGGUUUAAAAACUAACUGAUAGGCUGGCCUAAAAAUGCAAAAGCGUCUUCAUCAAGUAGAUAUGUUUAGAGGGAUGUCCAGAGGGACAGUUUUGUCCUAUUCUGCUCUAUUCUGUUUAACAAUUUUACCAAUGAUCUAGAAAAAUAAAAUAAAAAAUAAAAACCAAAAGAUAAUAAAGUUUGCAGAUGUGGGGGUGGCAAAUAAAGAAGAGGACAAGUCAUUGACUCAGAGAGAUAAAUGGGCACAAACAAGGAAUACACAUUUUAAAAUAGUUAAAUGUAAACAUAUACAUCUAGGAACAAAGAAAGUAGGCCAAAAUUAUAUGAUACAGGACUCUAUUCUUGAAACCAGUGAGACAAAAAAAGGUGU
Non-coding RNA from Pelodiscus sinensis (Chinese soft-shelled turtle), 1951 nucleotides. Lineage: Eukaryota; Metazoa; Chordata; Testudines; Trionychidae. The record is from RefSeq and is a predicted model, not a curated record.